AUGCACUACAGCAGCGACCUGCAGCCGGCAGCGAAAAACCUCCGAAAGAGUGCCAUAGGCGUGCUGGAGGUGGGCAUCCUCAGCGCGCGCGGCAUGGUCGGCAGCAAGAACCCCUACUGCGUUGCCAAGUGGGUGCGCACGCGCACGCUGCUGGGCACCGCUGCACCACAGUGGAACGAGCCGUACACCUGUGAUGUAUUCGACCUCAGCACCGUCAUCACCGUCGCCGUCUUGGACAGCAACCACAUCCACCGCGGUCAUGCAGUCAGACCAGCCGAGGACCAGAGGAUCGGCAAGGUGCGCGUCCGGCUCGCGACAUUAGAGAGAGACCGCGUGUACACGCUCAAACCGUCGGGGCUGAAAAAGAUGGGGGAGCUCCACCUUGCCGUCCGGUUCACCUGCAAUUUCGUGGGCCAAAAUGCUAGGCAUGACGAUUCCCACAUGUUUAGCCUUCGUGGAAGCAAGGCAUACAUCUGCCGGAUCACCGCGCUCUUCUCGAGUGUUGUCACCGUGGCCAAAUGGUUCGACGGUAUCUGCAAGUGGAAGAACCCACUGACGACGAUUUUGGGGCACGCGGUGUUUCUGAAGCUGGUGCGCAACCCGGAGUUGAUCCUGCCCAUCGUGUUCCUAUGA
RNAcentral lists this ribosomal RNA (633 nucleotides) under Triticum aestivum (bread wheat). RNAcentral's name for it is "partial small subunit ribosomal RNA". Lineage: Eukaryota; Viridiplantae; Streptophyta; Magnoliopsida; Poales; Poaceae. The record is from RNAcentral.